CCUACGGGAGGCAGCAGUGAGGAAUAUUGGUCAAUGGACGAGAGUCUGAACCAGCCAAGUAGCGUGAAGGAUGACUGCCCUAUGGGUUGUAAACUUCUUUUAUAUGGGAAUAAAAUGUUCCACGUGUGGGAUUUUGUAUGUAACAUAUGAAUAAGGAUCGGCUAACUCCGUGCCAGCAGCCGCGGUAAUACGGAGGAUCCAAGCGUUAUCCGGAUUUAUUGGGUUUAAAGGGAGCGUAGGUGGAUUGUUAAGUCAGUUGUGAAAGUUUGCGGCUCAACCGUAAAAUUGCAGUUGAAACUGGCAGUCUUGAGUACAGUAGAGGUGGGCGGAAUUCGUGGUGUAGCGGUGAAAUGCUUAGAUAUCACGAAGAACUCCGAUUGCGAAGGCAGUUCACUGGACUGCAACUGACACUGAGGCUCGAAAGUGUGGGUAUCAAACAGGAUUAGAUACCCCUGUAGUC
Molecule: ribosomal RNA, 460 nt
Filed under: uncultured bacterium
Lineage: Bacteria
Description: partial 16S ribosomal RNA
Rfam family: Bacterial small subunit ribosomal RNA
Source: RNAcentral